Molecule: ribosomal RNA, 449 nt
Filed under: uncultured bacterium
Lineage: Bacteria
Description: bacterial SSU rRNA
Rfam family: Bacterial small subunit ribosomal RNA
Source: RNAcentral
GACGAACGCUGGCGGCGCGCCUAACACAUGCAAGUCGAACGAGCGAGAGGAGGUUUACUUUCUCAAGCGAGUGGCGAACGGGUGAGUAACGCGUGAGGAACCUGCCUCAAAGAGGGGGACAACAGUUGGAAACGACUGCUAAUACCGCAUAAGCCCACGACCCGGCAUCGGGUAGAGGGAAAAGGAGCAAUCCGCUUUGAGAUGGCCUCGCGUCCGAUUAGCUAGUUGGUGAGGUAAUGGCCCACCAAGGCGACGAUCGGUAGCCGGACUGAGAGGUUGAACGGCCACAUUGGGACUGAGACACGGCCCAGACUCCUACGGGAGGCAGCAGUGGGGAAUAUUGCACAAUGGGGGAAACCCUGAUGCAGCGACGCCGCGUGGAGGAAGAAGGUCUUCGGAUUGUAAACUCCUGUUGUUGAGGAAGAUAAUGACGGUACUCAACAAGGAAG